RNAcentral lists this ribosomal RNA (350 nucleotides) under uncultured bacterium. Its description in RNAcentral is "bacterial SSU rRNA". It matches the Rfam family "Bacterial small subunit ribosomal RNA", at positions 1 to 334 of the family's 1533-position model. The record is from RNAcentral.
GUCUAGUACUCAGAGUUUGAUCCUGGCUCAGGAUGAACGCUGGCGGCGUGCCUAAUACAUGCAAGUCGAGCGAACAGAUGAGAAGCUUGCUUCUCUGAUGUUAGCGGCGGACGGGUGAGUAACACGUGGGUAACCUACCUAUAAGACUGGGAUAACUCCGGGAAACCGGGGCUAAUACCGGAUAAUAUUUUUGAACCGCAUGGUUCAAUAGUGAAAGACGGUUUCGGCUGUCACUUAUAGAUGGACCCGCGCCGUAUUAGCUAGUUGGUAAGGUAACGGCUUACCAAGGCGACGAUACGUAGCCGACCUGAGAGGGUGAUCGGCCACACUGGAACUGAGACACGGUCCAG